GAGUACCGAAAUCUGAGACUUUGCUUUUUUUAGAUCCAAAUUGGUAAAAAACUACCGAAUUUUGUAAUGCGACGUUCUGAAAAUUUCUCAAAAAAAAAAAAAAAAAAAUUUUUUAAAGC
Long non-coding RNA from Caenorhabditis elegans, 119 nucleotides. Ensembl annotates it as ncRNA. Its record names the gene linc-131. The record is from Ensembl. Lineage: Eukaryota; Metazoa; Nematoda; Chromadorea; Rhabditida; Rhabditidae.